GGAGGCCAGGGCCCGGAGGGGCUAGUUAAUUGCGAUAAAAAUGAAGAAAUACACCACUAAACCAGUUGUUCCUACAGAUCUUAGAUCAGUAAGCCAUUCACACCCACCACCUGCUUACAUAACACACAACCAUCACUAAACAGUGAAGAAAUGGCCAAGCUUGCCGCCCUCUAGUGACAUAACAUCAAAGCAGAGAUGGAUCCCACACCCUGCUGGCUGGCUGAAGAAUGAAGACUACUCUGUCAGGGGAAUAUCUGCUCAGUUAGUAAUCAAGCAGUUGGUGUUGUCUGUAGGAGUGAAUAUGGUCACUUUCUAGAUGCAAGAGCGCUGGUUUUCCAUGGGCUGACGUGCUUUCUAGAUGCAACUUUCAAGUUACUCCUCAGUCCUCAAAAUUAACGCUAGGAGUUGAUGAAGGUACAACUCAGUUCAUUAUCACCAAAGAAUGCCCGGCUCAAGUACUUUAGCAGGAAUAAGGUAAAAGGCAUUUAAAAAAAAUGGAGCUGUAGAAGGGUAAGAUAACAGAGGAAAACAGAACAGUGGACAAUGAGAUUACCUCCAAAAUUCAAGGACUGAAGGCUUCUGAUGAACGGUGUUGAAGAGUUCUGGUGCUCUACUUAUACCAGCCCUAGGUUAUCCACAUGCCAAAUAGAUGUGCAGCCACCUUAGUAGAUUGAUGGCAUGGCAUUCAGCAUUUGAACAUCUAGAAGCCAAUUUGUAUGUAGAUC
RNAcentral lists this long non-coding RNA (725 nucleotides) under Setaria viridis. Its description in RNAcentral is "long non-coding RNA (SVIR_LNC010058)". Lineage: Eukaryota; Viridiplantae; Streptophyta; Magnoliopsida; Poales; Poaceae. The record is from RNAcentral.